CUACGGGAGGCAGCAGUGAGGAAUAUUGGGCAAUGCCCGGAAGGGUGACCCAGCAACGCCGCGUGGAGGAUGAAGGUCGUAAGAUUGUAAACUCCUGUUAGAGGGGACGAAUAGCCGUGAUUCGUAAGGAUCAUGGUUUGACUGUACCCUCAGAGAAAGCCCCGGCUAACUACGUGCCAGCAGCCGCGGUAAUACGUAGGGGGCAAGCGUUGUCCGGAUUUACUGGGUGUAAAGGGCGCGCAGGCGGGCUUGUAAGUCGGUGGUGAAAGCCUGUGGCUUAACUACAGAACUGCCAUUGAUACUACAAGUCUUGAGUGCGGAAGAGAGAGACGGAAUUCCAGGUGUAGUGGUGAAAUACGUAGAUAUCUGGAAGAACACCAGUUGCGAAGGCGGUCUCUUGGUCCGUUACUGACGCUCAGGCGCGAAAGCGUGGGUAGCAAACAGGAUUAGAUACCCCGGU
RNAcentral lists this ribosomal RNA (460 nucleotides) under uncultured bacterium. RNAcentral's name for it is "bacterial SSU rRNA". It matches the Rfam family "Bacterial small subunit ribosomal RNA", at positions 339 to 791 of the family's 1533-position model. The record is from RNAcentral.